RNAcentral lists this ribosomal RNA (497 nucleotides) under uncultured bacterium. RNAcentral describes it as "partial 16S ribosomal RNA". It matches the Rfam family "Bacterial small subunit ribosomal RNA", at positions 28 to 507 of the family's 1533-position model. The record is from RNAcentral.
GAUGAACGCUGGCGGCGUGCCUAAUACAUGCAAGUCGAGCGAACAGACGAGGAGCUUGCUCCUCUGACGUUAGCGGCGGACGGGUGAGUCACACGUGGAUAACCUACCUAUAAGACUGGGAUAACUUCGGGAAACCGGAGCUAAUACCGGAUAAUAUAUUGAACCGCAUGGUUCAAUAGUGAAAGACGGUUUUGCUGUCACUUAUAGAUGGAUCCGCGCCGCAUUAGCUAGUUGGUAAGGUAACGGCUUACCAAGGCGACGAUGCGUAGCCGACCGGAGAGAGUGAUAGGCGACACUGGAACUGGGACACGGACCAGACGCCUACGAGAGGCAGCAGUAGGGAAUCGGCCGCAGUGGGCGAAAGCCUGACGGAGCAACGCCACGUCAGUGAUAGAGGUCUUGGGAUCGUGAUACUCUGUUAUGAGGGAAAAACAAAUGUGUAAGUAAAUAUGCACGACUUGACGGUACCUGAUCAGAAAGCCACGGCUAACUACGUG